GAUGAACGCUGGCGGCGUGCCUAAUACAUGCAAGUCGAGCGAACAGACGAGGAGCUUGCUCCUCUGACGUUAGCGGCGGACGGGUGAGUAACACGUGGAUAACCUACCUAUAAGACUGGGAUAACUUCGGGAAACCGGAGCUAAUACCGGAUAAUAUAUUGAACCGCAUGGUUCAAUAGUGAAAGACGGUUUUGCUGUCACUUAUAGAUGGAUCCGCGCCGCAUUAGCUAGUUGGUAAGGUAACGGCUUACCAAGGCAACGAUGCGUAGCCGACCUGAGAGGGUGAUCGGCCACACUGGAACUGGGACACGGUCCAGACUCCUACGGGAGGCAGCAGUAGGGAAUCUUCCGCAAUGGGCGAAAGCCUGACGGAGCAACGCCGCGUGAAUGAUGAAGGUCUUCGGAUCGUAAAACUCUGUUAUUAGGGAAGAACAAAUGUGUAAGUAACUAUGCACGUCUUGACGGUACCUAAUCAGAAAGCCACGGCUAACUACGUG
Molecule: ribosomal RNA, 497 nt
Filed under: uncultured bacterium
Lineage: Bacteria
Description: partial 16S ribosomal RNA
Rfam family: Bacterial small subunit ribosomal RNA
Source: RNAcentral